RNAcentral lists this ribosomal RNA (253 nucleotides) under uncultured bacterium. RNAcentral's name for it is "partial 16S ribosomal RNA". It matches the Rfam family "Bacterial small subunit ribosomal RNA", at positions 524 to 776 of the family's 1533-position model. The record is from RNAcentral.
UACGGAGGAGGCAAGCGUUAUCCGGAAUUAUUGGGCGUAAAGCGUCCGUAGGGGGCUCGUCAAGUCUGCGGUCAAAGACCGGAGCUCAACUCCGGGCCGGCCGUGGAAACUGAAGAGCUAGAGUGCGGUAGGGGUAGAGGGAAUUCCCAGUGUAGCGGUGAAAUGCGUAGAGAUUGGGAAGAACACCGGUGGCGAAAGCGCUCUACUGGGCCGAAACUGACCCUGAGGGACGAAAGCUAGGGGAGCGAAUGGG